GGAGUGGUAGCUCAGGGGUAGAGCGGCAGGCUGCAGUACUUUCUGUAGCUCUCCUGUAGGUCACCAGUUCGAUUCUGGUUCACUCCU
Massarina eburnea CBS 473.64 is the source of this 87-nucleotide non-coding RNA. The record is from the annotation of a GenBank genome assembly. Lineage: Eukaryota; Fungi; Ascomycota; Dothideomycetes; Pleosporales; Massarinaceae.